GUCUAUGGCCAUACUACCCUGAACAUGCCCGAUCUCGUCUGAUCUCAGAAGCUAAGCAGGGUCAGGCCUAGUUAGUACUUGGAUGGGAGAAAGCUGCCUCCAAGCACUUGGCUUAGCCUAGGUG
This is a non-coding RNA of Podarcis lilfordi (Lilford's wall lizard), 124 nucleotides long. The record is from the annotation of a GenBank genome assembly. Lineage: Eukaryota; Metazoa; Chordata; Lepidosauria; Squamata; Lacertidae.